RNAcentral lists this long non-coding RNA (411 nucleotides) under Androctonus crassicauda. Lineage: Eukaryota; Metazoa; Arthropoda; Arachnida; Scorpiones; Buthidae. The record is from RNAcentral.
ACAUUCUGCAACAUAAUCAUGAUUUAAAAAUGAAUUUAUUAUCCAAUCAGGAACUUUCAAAUAAAGUAAUCUCUGAAUCUUGCAAUGCAACAUGAGCAAACCAAUAACGGAAUCAUUCCAACCAUGCAGUCACGGCUGGGAUGAUUCAGUUAGCAGAGUGUUGCAAGUCAUACAGUCCCAACACACUUGCAUGACUAACAACGCCCCUACCAAUUGGUUGUUACUUGGCAUCCCCUCUAAUGACUCAAUUGCCCUCUGGGAGUCAAUGUCACCCACUUUGAGAAACACUGGUCUAACUUACCAAUCCCAUUGUGAUUAUGCAAUUUGAUAAAUGAUGUUUUGGAAAUUUUUGGAAAAAAAAUCGAAUUUUUCUUAAAAUAAAAAAAAAAAAUAUUGUACAAUGGUCAGUCA